This 672-nucleotide long non-coding RNA is filed under the name Homo sapiens (human). RNAcentral's name for it is "HSALNT0317563". Lineage: Eukaryota; Metazoa; Chordata; Mammalia; Primates; Hominidae. The record is from RNAcentral.
UAUGUUUUUUUUUUUUUAAUUACUGUUUUAUUUGGAAAAAGUGCUUCUUGCAAAAGGGAAGCUGCAAAACAGAGACCUCUGCAACAAUUACUUGUUUUUUCUUAAAGUGAAAGAAUGGGUGGGAUCCAAGGAAUCAAAGCAGUAGAUGGACGACCAGGAGCACCCCAAGUUAUCUUCAGGAAACAGAGCGACAAAACGCAAAGGAAGCCGGAAGCACGACCACUCUUUACCCUCGGCCUCAUUACAAGACCAAGACCUCUGCCUCGGCGCGGCAGCUCUCACCUGGAAUCCCAGCACUUUGGGAGGCCGAAGCGGACGGAUCACCUGAGGUGUCAGGAGUUUGAGACCAGCCUGGCCAACAAGGGACGCUCACCUACCUCAUGAAUUACGCGUGUCGCCCUCCUCGAGACGCCACAACGCAGUCCCCUGGGGAGCCAGCCGGAGACCUCUCCCUGCGGUGCUGUCUCCCCCGUGGUGGAACGGAAGCCCCUAAUAAAGCCUUGUCUGGGAAAUUUGCUUGGCCUCGUGUCAAUUUUUAUCGGAGCCUAAAGAACCUGUGUCCCCCUCCUCCCACACCCUGGCAACUGUGAAUCUGCUUUUGAUCUCUAUGGAUUUGGCUACUCUGGAUAUUUCAUGCUGGAGUGCAAUGGUGAGAUCUCGGCUCACUGCAAC